CUAAUACCGCAUAAGCCCACAGGUCGGCAUCGACCAGAGGGAAAAGGAGCAAUCCGCUUUGAGAUGGCCUCGCGUCCGAUUAGCUAGUUGGUGAGGUAACGGCCCACCAAGGCAACGAUCGGUAGCCGGACUGAGAGGUUGAACGGCCACAUUGGGACUGAGACACGGCCCAGACUCCUACGGGAGGCAGCAGUGGGGAAUAUUGCACAAUGGGGGAAACCCUGAUGCAGCGACGCCGCGUGGAGGAAGAAGGUCUUCGGAUUGUAAACUCCUGUUGUUGAGGAAGAUAAUGACGGUACUCAACAAGGAAGUGACGGCUAACUACGUGCCAGCAGCCGCGGUAAAACGUAGGUCACAAGCGUUGUCCGGAAUUACUGGGUGUAAAGGGAGCGCAGGCGGGAAGACAAGUUGGAAGUGAAAUCUAUGGGCUCAACCCAUAAACUGCUUUCAAAACUGUUUUUCUUGAGUAGUGCAGAGGUAGGCGGAAUUCCCGGUGUAGCGGUGGAAUGCGUAGAUAUCGGGAGGAACACCAGUGGCGAAGGCGGCCUACUGGGCACCAACUGACGCUGAGGCUCGAAAGUGUGGGUAGCAAACAGGAUUAGAUACCCUGGUAGUCCACACCGUAAACGAUGAUUACUAGGUGUUGGAGGAUUGACCCCUUCAGUGCCGC
This 670-nucleotide ribosomal RNA is filed under the name uncultured bacterium. Its description in RNAcentral is "bacterial SSU rRNA". It matches the Rfam family "Bacterial small subunit ribosomal RNA", at positions 163 to 849 of the family's 1533-position model. The record is from RNAcentral.